GGUUCGUGGCGUACCUGCACGUGGGCUGCUACUACGUCGUCGGCGUGCCACUCGGCGUCUCCCUUGGCUUCUACCUCGACCUCGGCGGUCGGCGCCAAGUUAAACGCAGGGGGUUUGGAGCGGCAUGGUGGUCGAAGGAACCCUGAUGCAGACGCUCAUCUUGCUCGUUGUCACACCAUCAGAACCGACUGGAACAAGCAGGUGGAGAAUGCCAAGGCAAGGCUGGCCAAAUGGGGGGACAGGAAGCAGCCUCGGCCACAAGAUUACUGUUGAGAGUACACCAAGUGGGUGUCUGGCUCUGAUGUAGAAUGAAUGUUUCUGAAUCCAAC
Long non-coding RNA from Setaria italica (foxtail millet), 329 nucleotides. RefSeq lists it as uncharacterized. The transcript is spliced from 3 exons. NCBI's taxonomy places the organism in Eukaryota, Viridiplantae, Streptophyta, Magnoliopsida, Poales, Poaceae. The record is from RefSeq and is a predicted model, not a curated record.